Molecule: ribosomal RNA, 404 nt
Filed under: bacterium
Lineage: Bacteria
Also listed under: 9 other names
Description: partial 16S ribosomal RNA
Rfam family: Bacterial small subunit ribosomal RNA
Source: RNAcentral
UGGGGAAUAUUGGACAAUGGGCGCAAGCCUGAUCCAGCCAUGCCGCGUGAGUGAUGAAGGCCUUAGGGUUGUAAAGCUCUUUUGUCCGGGAAGAUAAUGACUGUACCGGAAGAAUAAGCCCCGGCUAACUUCGUGCCAGCAGCCGCGGUAAUACGAAGGGGGCUAGCGUUGCUCGGAAUCACUGGGCGUAAAGGGCGCGUAGGCGGACUUUUAAGUCGGAGGUGAAAGCCCAGGGCUCAACCCUGGAAUUGCCUUCGAUACUGGGAGUCUUGAGUUCGGAAGAGGUUGGUGGAACUGCGAGUGUAGAGGUGAAAUUCGUAGAUAUUCGCAAGAACACCGGUGGCGAAGGCGGCCAACUGGUCCGAAACUGACGCUGAGGCGCGAAAGCGUGGGGAGCAAACAGG